UACAGAGGGGGCGAGCGUUGUUCGGAAUUACUGGGCGUAAAGGGCGCGUAGGCGGCCUGUUAAGUCGGACGUGAAAUCCCUCGGCUCAACCGGGGAACUGCGUCCGAUACUGGCGGGCUUGAAUUCGGGAGAGGGAUGUGGAAUUCCAGGUGUAGCGGUGAAAUGCGUAGAUAUCUGGAGGAACACCGGUGGCGAAGGCGGCAUCCUGGACCGACAUUGACGCUGAGGCGCGAAAGCCAGGGGAGCAAAUGGG
This 253-nucleotide ribosomal RNA is filed under the name uncultured bacterium. RNAcentral describes it as "partial 16S ribosomal RNA". It matches the Rfam family "Bacterial small subunit ribosomal RNA", at positions 524 to 776 of the family's 1533-position model. The record is from RNAcentral.